Molecule: ribosomal RNA, 205 nt
Filed under: Escherichia coli
Lineage: Bacteria; Pseudomonadati; Pseudomonadota; Gammaproteobacteria; Enterobacterales; Enterobacteriaceae
Description: partial 16S ribosomal RNA
Rfam family: Bacterial small subunit ribosomal RNA
Source: RNAcentral
AAAUUGAAGAGUUUGAUCAUGGCUCAGAUUGAACGCUGGCGGCAGGCCUAACACAUGCAAGUCGAACGGUAACAGGGAACAGCUUGCUGUUUCGCUGACGAGUGGCGGACGGGUGAGUAAUGUCUGGGAAACUGCCUGAUGGAGGGGGAUAACUACUGGAAACGGUAGCUAAUACCGCAUAACGUCGCAAGACCAAAGAGGGGGA